AUUGAACGCUGGCGGCAGGCCUAACACAUGCAAGUCGAACGAGUGGCGGACGGGUGAGUAAUGUCUGGGAAACUGCCCGAUGGAGGGGGAUAACUACUGGAAACGGUAGCUAAUACCGCAUACCAUCGGAUGUGCCCACAUGGGAUUAGCUAGUAGGUGGGGUAACGGCUCACCUAGGCUAAGAUCCAUAGCUGGUCUGAGAGAAUGACCAGCCACACUGGAACUGAGACACGGGCCAGACUCCGACGGGAGGCAGCAGUGGGGAAUAUUGCGCAAUGGGCGAAAGCCUGAUGCAGCAAUGCCGCGUGUAUGAAGAAGGUUUUCGGGUUGUAAAGUACUGUCAGCGAGGAGGCGUUACUCGCAGAAGAAGCACCGGCUAACUACGUGCCAGCAGCCGCGGUAAUAC
Molecule: ribosomal RNA, 406 nt
Filed under: uncultured bacterium
Lineage: Bacteria
Description: partial 16S ribosomal RNA
Rfam family: Bacterial small subunit ribosomal RNA
Source: RNAcentral